This 187-nucleotide antisense RNA is filed under the name Tetradesmus obliquus. RNAcentral's name for it is "Scenedesmus obliquus Antisense RNA which regulates isiA expression". It matches the Rfam family "Antisense RNA which regulates isiA expression". The record is from Rfam by way of RNAcentral. Lineage: Eukaryota; Viridiplantae; Chlorophyta; Chlorophyceae; Sphaeropleales; Scenedesmaceae.
AGUAACCAAAAACAACAGCAGCAUUUGUAGUUGGGUUUGUAAUAAUACGAACGUCUCCACCUCCUGGAGCCCAUGUAUCAUAAACACCACCAAAAUACAUAGCUUUCCAUACUAAUAACCAAGCUCCAAUACCUAACAUGAUAAGGUGGUAACCUAAGAUGUUAGUCAUUUUGUUUUUGUCUUUCCA